RNAcentral lists this long non-coding RNA (205 nucleotides) under Elaeis guineensis (African oil palm). Its description in RNAcentral is "long non-coding RNA (EGUI_LNC019496)". Lineage: Eukaryota; Viridiplantae; Streptophyta; Magnoliopsida; Arecales; Arecaceae. The record is from RNAcentral.
CAGGGGCGGCUCAACAUAUUUGGAGGCCUAAAGCUAAAAAUUAAAAUAUAAUUAUUUAAUUAAAAUUUAUAUAAAUUUUUUAUUAAAAUUUUAUUUUUCUAACUUUUUGAGAUGCAAAAUUUUUAAUCAAAUUUUUAUAAUCAAGUUCUCCUAAUAUUUCUUUUUCAAUUGAUAAUAUAGCCAAUCCAUUUAAUCUUUCUUGAGA